UACAGAGGUCCCGAGCGUUGUUCGGAUUCAUUGGGCGUAAAGGGUGCGUAGGCGGUUGGGUAAGUCAGAUGUGAAAUUCCAGGGCUCAACCUUGGAACUGCGUUUGAAACUACAAGGCUAGAGUGUAGCAGAGGGGGGUGGAAUUCCACGUGUAGCAGUGAAAUGCGUAGAGAUGUGGAGGAACACCGAUGGCGAAGGCAGCCCCCUGGGUUAACACUGACGCUCAGGCACGAAAGCGUGGGGAGCAAACAGG
RNAcentral lists this ribosomal RNA (253 nucleotides) under uncultured bacterium. RNAcentral describes it as "partial 16S ribosomal RNA". It matches the Rfam family "Bacterial small subunit ribosomal RNA", at positions 524 to 776 of the family's 1533-position model. The record is from RNAcentral.